GACGAACGCUGGCGGCGUGCUUAUCACAUGCAAGUCGAACGGAAAGGCCCUUCGGGGUACUCGAGUGGCGAACGGGUGAGUAACACGUGGGUGAUCUGCCCUGCACUUUGGGAUAAGCCUGGGAAACUGGGUCUAAUACCGAAUAGGACCACGCGCUUCAUGGUGUGUGGUGGAAAGCUUUUGCGGUGUGGGAUGGGCCCGCGGCCUAUCAGCUUGUUGGUGGGGUAAUGGCCUACCAAGGCGACGACGGGUAGCCGGCCUGAGAGGGUGACCGGCCACACUGGGACUGAGAUACGGCCCAGACUCCUACGGGAGGCAGCAGUGGGGAAUAUUGCACAAUGGGCGCAAGCCUGAUGCAGCGACGCCGCGUGAGGGAUGACGGCCUUCGGGUUGUAAACCUCUUUCACCAGGGACGAAGCGUAAGUGACGGUACCUGGAGAAGAAGCACCGGCCAACUACGUG
Molecule: ribosomal RNA, 462 nt
Filed under: uncultured bacterium
Lineage: Bacteria
Description: partial 16S ribosomal RNA
Rfam family: Bacterial small subunit ribosomal RNA
Source: RNAcentral